UCUCUCUGUCCCAGCACCUGCCUCAUUUCUGCCCAGCCAGUGGCAUUAAACAUUUAUGGAGCUGUGGAGGAUCAAAGGCCUUGGCUGGGGGUGGGCAGGCUGGAGGCCUUGGUUUAGAGAUGGAAAGCAGCUCGCAUCAAACCACUUUAUGCUGCUGUCUCCAUCCACCCUGGGCUCUUGCUACCAGUUGGUGUGGUCCUGCUCCUGGAGUGGGAGGAAAUGCCCAGGAACCAGGACUCCCCAUUUACCAGGGUAGGAUUCUCCUUCUACCCCUAAAUUCAAAGAAUUGACUUUGGAUACUCCUUGAAGCCUGGCCAGAGCAUGGUAUCCCACAAUGUUCAAGAUCCUGCCAGGUCUGGGAGCCCCCUCCGAGGAGUGGGUGGAGGCGAGCAGGCAGGUCUGUGCCCCUGGGAAUCUCUGCAGCCUCUUGCCCCUGUUUCUCUGAAGCCCCCAAACCCCCUUGGCUCCACAGAAGACGUUCCUCUGCCUUGAAAGCUAUCUUGGAGGAGACUAAUUUUCUUCUCCUCUCACUCAGAAAGCAAGUGUCAUCCAUUUGAAGGGAGAGACUUCAGAAUAAGUCACCAGUGUGCCUGUGAUCCUGCAAAUUGAUGGGCUGUGUGGAAGUGGGGAAGUGAAGCUGGCUUCUCCGG
This 650-nucleotide long non-coding RNA is filed under the name Lynx pardinus (Iberian lynx). The record is from RNAcentral. Lineage: Eukaryota; Metazoa; Chordata; Mammalia; Carnivora; Felidae.